RNAcentral lists this ribosomal RNA (151 nucleotides) under Salmonella enterica subsp. enterica serovar Choleraesuis. RNAcentral describes it as "partial 16S ribosomal RNA". It matches the Rfam family "Bacterial small subunit ribosomal RNA", at positions 1 to 144 of the family's 1533-position model. The record is from RNAcentral. Lineage: Bacteria; Pseudomonadati; Pseudomonadota; Gammaproteobacteria; Enterobacterales; Enterobacteriaceae.
UUAAAUUGAAGAGUUUGAUCAUGGCCAGAUUGAACGCUGGCGGCAGGCCUAACACAUGCAAGUCGAACGGUAACAGGAAGCAGCUUGCUGCUUUGCUGACGAGUGGCGGACGGGUGAGUAAUGUCUGGGAAACUGCCUGAUGGAGGGGGAU